This 196-nucleotide small nuclear RNA is filed under the name Salix viminalis (osier). It matches the Rfam family "U2 spliceosomal RNA". From Rfam's summary of the family: U2 is a small nuclear RNA (snRNA) component of the spliceosome (involved in pre-mRNA splicing). Complementary binding between U2 snRNA (in an area lying towards the 5' end but 3' to hairpin I) and the branchpoint sequence (BPS) of the intron results the bulging out of an unpaired adenosine, on the BPS, which initiates a nucleophilic attack at the intronic 5' splice site, thus starting the first of two transesterification reactions that mediate splicing. Lineage: Eukaryota; Viridiplantae; Streptophyta; Magnoliopsida; Malpighiales; Salicaceae. The record is from RNAcentral.
AUACCUUUCUCGGCCUUUUGGCUAAGAUCAAGUGUAGUAUCUGUUCUUAUCAGUUUAAUAUCUGAUACGUGGGUCAAUGACUCACACGAUAUUAAAUUUAUUUUUUAAGGGGGAAGGCCUAUAACAGUAGCUUGCUGCUGAGUUCUUCGAGCGUCGCCUUUGCGUUGCACUUCUGCAUUGGCCUGGCGCGCCCCUC